Molecule: unclassified non-coding RNA, 251 nt
Filed under: Hevea brasiliensis (rubber tree)
Lineage: Eukaryota; Viridiplantae; Streptophyta; Magnoliopsida; Malpighiales; Euphorbiaceae
Source: RNAcentral
CUGGAACUCGAUUCUUAUAUAUUGAUAAGUUGGGGUGAGCACGGCUUUGAGUUAAUCUCGUUAGCCUUCGCACUUGGAUUAUUAAGUGAAAGUCCAGUUUGAGUUGACCUUGCUGGUAGAUAUUAGAUUAAGAAAUCUAUAUAAGGGAUCUACUCUCAUAUGUAUAUUGAUGUAUCAUAUGGGUGCGUGCGUGCUCCAAGUAAUCUUUUGUGCGAAUAUUGGUUGAAUUGUUUGAACUAUGUAAACGUGCU